AUUCUGCCCAUGCGGGGAAGGAUGAGAAGCUUCGACUAAGGUUCGGCUCGAGCGUCAGCAAGAGAGCGUUGCCGCAGGCAACGACCCGAAGGGCGAAGCGCGCAGCGCUGAGUAAUCCUUCCCCCACCACCA
RNAcentral lists this small RNA (132 nucleotides) under Escherichia coli. Its description in RNAcentral is "RtT sRNA". It matches the Rfam family "RtT RNA". From Rfam's summary of the family: This family represents a bacterial cis-regulatory element known as RtT RNA. The exact function of RtT is unknown although it is thought that it may be involved in changing the cellular response in relation to amino acid starvation. The record is from RNAcentral. RNAcentral also lists the same sequence under 2 other names. Lineage: Bacteria; Pseudomonadati; Pseudomonadota; Gammaproteobacteria; Enterobacterales; Enterobacteriaceae.